GUCCACAGAAGGUGGAUUUGUUCAAGCUGUACUUCUGAAGACACAUGUGGGAUAAUUAACAAGGCAUCUGCAGCAGAGAGUGGAUUUGUCAACAUGCAAAGCUGCUGAUCUGCCCCUGCAUGCUGCUCCCUGCCCUAAGUGUGAGGAGGAUGAACUGCCCUCUUUUCACCUGCACCUCCCUGGAUGGAACAGAGCAUCUCCAUAAUACUUUAUGCAGAAGUAUCACUUCUAUUUAACACCAGAAACCCCAGGCACC
RNAcentral lists this long non-coding RNA (256 nucleotides) under Homo sapiens (human). RNAcentral describes it as "non-protein coding lnc-MTRNR2L7-2:1". Lineage: Eukaryota; Metazoa; Chordata; Mammalia; Primates; Hominidae. The record is from RNAcentral.